GUUCGUAACUAAUUUUCUUUUGCUAGGGUGAGACCAUGAGCCUUAACAUGAAUAUGUAGUAUUUAUGCAAUUGCUUAUGAUAUUAUGCAUGCAUACUUUGAAUUAUUAAUCACUGUGUUUAAAAUUGUCUCUAUGUCUUAAUGCUUAGCUACCAUUAGGAUGUUUAGGCAAUUCGGUCGGAAUAUCACCGGAUGAUUGAGUAUUGCUUCUUAUGGUUAAUAAUUGUAAUUUCACCUAAGGCGAAUAUCACACUCUUAGGGGUUGCAUGGUUGGAUUUUCACAAAACUUAAUGAGCCUUGCAUGUUUACAUUUGAUCUAAAUAUCUUGCUUGAAUAUCAUGGGGAGAAUAUGCAUUAGGAAAACCUAACAUUCAAAGUUGCAUAUGUACUUCAUAUGUAAUUGUUAAAAUUACAUAGGAUUGUUAAGGUGACGGCAGAACCUUAGUGCUUAAAUUGAUUUUCAAAACCGUUUUCCUUUGUUUUCUUUACUUUGCCAAUUAUUUAAUUGUUUUUAUUAAAUUUGUUUUAUUAUUUGAGGUCAUAAAAUCAACCUUUUUCUAAAAUCUUGUUUUAAAUAGUUAAUUAAGAAUUAGUUUAAAUACAAAUUAUUCAUUUAAUCCCUGGGGAACGACCUUGCAUGAGCAACCUAACUUCAACUACCUUGUUCUCUUGCAAGUAUUUUAAAGUAUUUUUUUAUCCAUACUUUUGCAAGUGGUAAAAAUCUUAUCAGUGAGGCCACGAGAUUUAGCAUGAAGAUGUAAAAGGGUGGGCACAGGCCGGGUCAGGCCUAAAUUUGAAAGAACCAAACUGGAGCCAUUUAAAAAUGUAAUGGGGUGGCCUGAGCCGAGUAAUGCCAUUUAUAAAUUUGGAACCGGACCUCACCUGGGCCCGUUUUGUCAACGCGUCGUUCAUCAUUUUCCUUCGACAACCCUAAUACUCAAAUCAUAAGCAGUAGCAUUAGGAU
RNAcentral lists this long non-coding RNA (963 nucleotides) under Malus domestica (apple). RNAcentral's name for it is "long non-coding RNA (MDOM_LNC012313)". Lineage: Eukaryota; Viridiplantae; Streptophyta; Magnoliopsida; Rosales; Rosaceae. The record is from RNAcentral.